RNAcentral lists this ribosomal RNA (460 nucleotides) under uncultured bacterium. RNAcentral describes it as "partial 16S ribosomal RNA". It matches the Rfam family "Bacterial small subunit ribosomal RNA", at positions 338 to 795 of the family's 1533-position model. The record is from RNAcentral.
CCUACGGGGGGCAGCAGUGAGGAAUAUUGGUCAAUGGACGCAAGUCUGAACCAGCCAAGCCGCGUGAAGGAAGAAGGCUCUAUGGGUUGUAAACUUCUUUUGUACGGGGAUAAACGCAGCUACGUGUGUCUGUCUGAAAGUAUCGUACGAAUAAGGAUCGGCUAACUCCGUGCCAGCAGCCGCGGUAAUACGGAGGAUGCGAGCGUUAUCCGGAUUUAUUGGGUUUAAAGGGUGCGUAGGCGGUCGGUUAAGUCAGCGGUGAAAGCCCGAGGCUCAACCACGGAAUUGCCGCUGAUACUGGUCGGCUAGAGAGUAGUUGAGGUAGGCGGAAUGUGUGGUGUAGCGGUGAAAUGCUUAGAUAUCACACAGAACUCCGAUUGCGAAGGCAGCUUACCAAGCCACUUCUGACGUUGAGGCACGAAAGCGUGGGGAGCAAACAGGAUUAGAUACCCGGGUAGUC